UACGGAGGGUGCAAGCGUUGUCCGGAAUCACUGGGCGUAAAGGGCGCGUAGGUGGCGCGGUAAGCGUGCGGUGAAAGCCCGGGGCUCAACCCCGGGUCGGCCGUGCGAACUGCUGGGCUGGAGCAUCGUAGAGGCAGGUGGAAUUUCGGGUGUAGCGGUGGAAUGCGUAGAGAUCCGAAAGAACACCAGUGGCGAAGGCGGCCUGCUGGGCGAUUGCUGACACUGAGGCGCGACAGCGUGGGGAGCAAACAGG
Molecule: ribosomal RNA, 253 nt
Filed under: uncultured bacterium
Lineage: Bacteria
Also listed under: 1 other name
Description: partial 16S ribosomal RNA
Rfam family: Bacterial small subunit ribosomal RNA
Source: RNAcentral